CGGAAUCUGCCUAUUUGUGGGGGAUAACGUAGGGAGACUUACGCUAAUACCGCAUACGACCUACGGGUGAAAGCGGAGGACCUUCGGGCUUCGCGCAGAUAGAUGAGCCGAUGUCGGAUUAGCUAGUUGGCGGGGUAAAGGCCCACCAAGGCGACGAUCCGUAGCUGGUCUGAGAGGAUGAUCAGCCACACUGGAACUGAGACACGGUCCAGACUCCUACGGGAGGCAGCAGUGGGGAAUAUUGGACAAUGGGCGCAAGCCUGAUCCAGCCAUGCCGCGUGGGUGAAGAAGGCCUUCGGGUUGUAAAGCCCUUUUGUUGGGAAAGAAAAGCAGUCGGUUAAUACCCGAUUGUUCUGACGGUACCCAAAGAAUAAGCACCGGCUAACUUCGUGCCAGCAGCCGCGGUAAUACGAAGGGUGCAAGCGUUACUCGGAAUUACUGGGCGUAAAGCGUGCGUAGGUGGUUUGUUAAGUCUGAUGUGAAAGCCCUGGGCUCAACCUGGGAAUUGCAUUGGAUACUGGCAGGCUAGAGUGCGGUAGAGGGUAGUGGAAUUCCCGGU
This 559-nucleotide ribosomal RNA is filed under the name uncultured bacterium. RNAcentral's name for it is "bacterial SSU rRNA". It matches the Rfam family "Bacterial small subunit ribosomal RNA", at positions 119 to 674 of the family's 1533-position model. The record is from RNAcentral.